ACAGCAGUAGCCGCGGUAAUACGUAGGGUGCAAGCGUUAAUCGGAAUUACUGGGCGUAAAGCGUGCGCAGGCGGUUUGUUAAGACAGAUGUGAAAUCCCCGGGCUCAACCUGGGAACUGCAUUUGUGACUGGCAAGCUAGAGUGUGGCAGAGGGGGGUGGAAUUCCGCGUGUAGCAGUGAAAUGCGUAGAUAUGCGGAGGAACACCGAUGGCGAAGGCAGCCCCCUGGGCCAACACUGACGCUCAUGCACGAAAGCGUGGGGAGCAAACAGGAUUAGAUACCCCCGUAGUCCCUGUCUCUUAUAC
This 305-nucleotide ribosomal RNA is filed under the name uncultured bacterium. RNAcentral describes it as "partial 16S ribosomal RNA". It matches the Rfam family "Bacterial small subunit ribosomal RNA", at positions 506 to 807 of the family's 1533-position model. The record is from RNAcentral.